CGCUGAGGAUUUGUAAUUGACGGAUGAAACAAAUGUCGUAUUUUUGUGAUUGUGAUAAUUUUAUGUAAUUAUAAACAUUAGUGCAAAAUUGAGAGGUAAUUGGGACAAGAUCCGAAUUAUAGAGGGUUUCCCCUUCCUAUAGACCAGGUAUUAGUCUAAGUUUAAGGUGGCUAGGAAGGAUCUACUCACAGCCUGCUUAAUUUUUCUGGAAAAAUUAAAAAGAAAAUCUAUAUUUUUUAUUUUUUAAUCAAAUUUACGAUGUUAAUUUUU
RNAcentral lists this long non-coding RNA (270 nucleotides) under Ricinus communis (castor bean). Its description in RNAcentral is "long non-coding RNA (RCOM_LNC003408)". Lineage: Eukaryota; Viridiplantae; Streptophyta; Magnoliopsida; Malpighiales; Euphorbiaceae. The record is from RNAcentral.